Long non-coding RNA from Tympanuchus pallidicinctus (lesser prairie-chicken), 2140 nucleotides. RefSeq lists it as uncharacterized. Lineage: Eukaryota; Metazoa; Chordata; Aves; Galliformes; Phasianidae. The record is from RefSeq and is a predicted model, not a curated record. The transcript has 4 exons.
CAAAACAGUAUGGCCAUUGUAUUUCAAACAUUAGAGCAAUUGUUUAGUACAUGUGGUGCAACCCUAAAUUUCCAUGUCAGAACAUGGUGCCAACUCUGAGUCUCUGCAAAUUAUGAUACUGUAGGCAUGCACAUGUUUAAACAAGUGCUUUCCUAUCUUGGGGUUAUAUAAUAGUAUUUAUAUAUACUGUUUGGAAAAGCCAGACAACACUCUAAAGUGAUAAAAAGGAACCGAAAACAUAUGCUUAUUUUCUACACCAUUGUACAUUUGAAACAAAGCAAAACCUCUUAUGGUGCUUGGCUCUUUUUCUGAGUAUAUUGGCAUUUGUUAGAUAUAAAUGCUAAUAAUGCUUAUUCUUGUAUGUUGUAAAAAAAAGCUGUAGGUAGGAAUAAAGAGGCCUAGUAAAACAAAUAAGGAUAAACAAAUAAUAAUUAAUUGCCUGCAGUUGAAAGUACAUUGCGCUAUAGCUUGCAUUACAAUAGAGCACUCAUAAACCUGUGACUCCGAACAUCUCUACAUUACAGAUUUAGGCAGCCAAAAUAUUACUGUAACUGCAUUUCAACAGGCUACCUAGUGACUUAACCUACUACUGAGAGUCAGGAGAAUAUAACUCAUCCUCCACAAUGCCUAGACAUCACCAGCUUUAUUUCUGAGGAUAUCCUGGAAAAUGGAACUGUGAAAACAUUCCAAGAGCUUCAGUGGGAUUAUUGUCUAUGACAAGAUCCUCUUUGACAAUACACAGACCUUGGUGCACAUAAUACCUGAUAAAAAUCAAACCUCACCAUUGGGACCACUCUGCUUGCUCUGCACAGUAUUUCAAAUGGAUUUAUAUUAUGUGGAAUCAGCACCAUCAGUGACGAAAACUAGCUCACAGCUUCUCACCCACACGCUCAGUUUAAAUGUUCAUUGUACUUUCAAACAUGUUUUCUUACUUUUCAAAAAAGGUUUCCCAUGUGCCAUAAUACAUAGCCCUGGAAGAUGCUGUUCAUUGUCCUCUAUUUCCCAUUAUGGACAAAACAGAUUACCCUCUGAGAUACUAUUUCCGAUUUUCUUUUAAUUAUAAAAAUAAAAAUAUGUUUUCCUAUAAUGUUUAUUAUUCUUCUUGGAAUAUGGAAACAAUGGCUGUAUAGAAUAGUUAAGACACUGUGCAAGAUUAAUUGAUUGCGGGAUCAGCAGUAUACUCAAAGAGCAUUAGUUUUCCCCAAGGUAAGAAUAUUACAAAUUAGAAGAGGGCUGUAACAGGCAGUGCUGGCCCUUGAAACCGAGCUCCAUGUACACCCCCACACCACUGCUGAUUUCAGUCUAAGCCUUAUGCACUGGAGCACUGUGGAGGAUGAUCAUGUGACCAGUGUAAUUCCUUAAUGCAUGUGUGACCAGAUAGCUUAAGAAAAGAAGAGCAUCUCCCUCCAGUGAAAAAUAUUUGUUAGACUGGUAGCUGCUGAGAAAUAAUCUAUGUGAGAAACUUAAAAGUUGCUGUUAAAUCACCUCUGCUUGAAAAACUCUUGCGAGUUACCUCUCUGGGAAUCAUCAAACUUGCCAUUUUGGAGAAUACAGAUCACUGUCAGCCAUAGGUACGGCCUCAUGGAAAAUGAGAGACACUGCAGUGAAUCAGCCCCCAGCCAUCACAGGAGAGACUUCUGAAGAGACCUUCAGCACAGCUCUGUGGAGACACCGCCUGUGCUGGGGUGAGGAACCCCCCUGGCAGAAGUGAGUGAGUGCAUGAACGAGGGGAGGAGUACGACUGCCUGUCAGAUUCACGAGGCAUGGAAGAGGGCCACCAGCAGCGAAUGGCUUCAGCAAAGUCAAGCCACUUCUUUCCAAGGCCUCAGACAUUAGUCCACGCCGAGACUGACCAUCUGAGUUCCUUGGAAGUGAAUGUAAAUGCCUACAUGAAGACCAAGAAAGCUGGACUUUUUGUGAAACAUUAAUAAUUAUAUGGUGGUAGCACUCAGGAACUGCUGACCAUGGAGUAAACACAGUUUCUGCCUGAAGGCUGGAAGGUACAGUUCUGUACAAAAAAUACUUCAUAAAAGUUGUAUUACCAUCAGUGUGGUCUUGCUCUGCAAAUCUACUUAAUCUAUGUAUUUAGAGUCAUGUGCGCUUUAGUGACAUAAUAAAGGUCAGUUAAUUCUUUUCCCUA